This 76-nucleotide transfer RNA is filed under the name Erysipelotrichaceae bacterium. RNAcentral's name for it is "tRNA-Val". It matches the Rfam family "tRNA". From Rfam's summary of the family: Transfer RNA (tRNA) molecules are approximately 80 nucleotides in length. Their secondary structure includes four short double-helical elements and three loops (D, anti-codon, and T loops). Further hydrogen bonds mediate the characteristic L-shaped molecular structure. tRNAs have two regions of fundamental functional importance: the anti-codon, which is responsible for specific mRNA codon recognition, and the 3' end, to which the tRNAs corresponding amino acid is attached (by aminoacyl-tRNA synthetases). tRNAs cope with the degeneracy of the genetic code in two manners: having more than one tRNA (with a specific anti-codon) for a particular amino acid; and 'wobble' base-pairing, i.e. permitting non-standard base-pairing at the 3rd anti-codon position. Lineage: Bacteria; Bacillati; Bacillota; Erysipelotrichia; Erysipelotrichales; Erysipelotrichaceae. The record is from RNAcentral. RNAcentral also lists the same sequence under 1 other name.
GAAGGUUUAGCUCAGCUGGGAGAGCACUUGCUUGACGUGCAAGGGGUCAGGGGUUCAAGUCCCUUAACCUUCACCA